UGACCUCAGAUCAGGCAAGGCAACCCGCUGAAUUUAAGCAUAUUAAUAAGCGGAGGAAAAGAAACUAACAAGGAUUCCCCUAGUAAUGGCGAAUGAAGCGGGAACAGCUCAAAUUGAAAAUCUCCGUUGCUUGCAACGGCGAAUUGAGUUUCGAGAAGCACUUCUCGGCGAUCCGA
Molecule: non-coding RNA, 176 nt
Filed under: Nematostella vectensis (starlet sea anemone)
Lineage: Eukaryota; Metazoa; Cnidaria; Anthozoa; Actiniaria; Edwardsiidae
Description: Eukaryotic large subunit ribosomal RNA
Rfam family: Eukaryotic large subunit ribosomal RNA
Source: Rfam by way of RNAcentral